Long non-coding RNA from Salvia miltiorrhiza (redroot sage), 602 nucleotides. RefSeq lists it as uncharacterized. The transcript has 2 exons. The record is from RefSeq and is a predicted model, not a curated record. NCBI's taxonomy places the organism in Eukaryota, Viridiplantae, Streptophyta, Magnoliopsida, Lamiales, Lamiaceae.
AUUGCAUCAAAACCAAAUGGGAACAGCUGUAUAUAGCUCAAUUUAGUCAGACUUUAGAAAAACUUUAAUUUCUUUUAAUUUGGCACUACACACACGCACACACUUAUAUAUAGAUGUUCAUGGAAUUGAAGUUUACAAAGCUGCACCAUUUUAUUCUUCUUCUCAUUUAUAAAUUUUUCUUGGUAUUUGUGUUUUUCUUGAAGCUGAGGAAAAUAAAAUUAAGAGCCAUGUCUAGUAAAUAUGUAAAAUGCUUGUUUUUGUUUCUCAUAGCUUUUAUUGCCAUAGAUCAUCACCCACAGAGCUCUCAAGCCACAGCUGCUAUUCUUAAUCAACAGAGAACAUUCUCGAACAUUGGAUUAGUGUGCCACUGUUGUGAUGAAGCAAAUGGGGAAUGCAAAGACAAAUGGGAGGGCAACUGCCAAAACAAGCUUAAAUGUGUUCCGUGGAAGCAAUUUUAGUCAAGAAGUUGUAAUAUUAUUGUCAUUUUUUUCAUAUAAUAUAUAAUAACAAUAUGAAAUGCAUGUAUAUCAAAUUAAUGCGCAUGUGACACGUAAAAAUAAGGCAUAGAAAUAUUUAUAUUAUUGAAAGUUUAAAUUUAAUAU